Molecule: ribosomal RNA, 500 nt
Filed under: uncultured eukaryote
Lineage: Eukaryota
Description: SSU rRNA
Rfam family: Eukaryotic small subunit ribosomal RNA
Source: RNAcentral
UCUGCUGACUCAGACUAGCCAUGCAUGUCUAGUAUAAGUGUUAUACAGCGAAACUGCGAAUGGCUCAUUAAAACAGUUAUAGUUUAUUUGACAAUCGAAUUUACAUGGAUAACCGUGGUAAUUCUAGAGCUAAUACAUGCUGGUGUGCCCGACUUUUCGGAAGGGCGGUAUUUAUUAGAUAACAAGCCAAUAUUCCUCUGGUCUAUUGUGGUGACUCAUAAUAACUGAUCGAAUCGCAAGGCCUAUGGCCGCGAUAAGUCAUUCAAGUUUCUGCCCCAUCAGCUUUCGAUGGUAGUGUAUUGGACUACCAUGGCGUUUACGGGUAACGGAGGAUUAGGGUUCGAUUCCGGAGAGGGAGCCUGAGAAACGGCUGCCACAUCUAAGGAAGGCAGCAGGCGCGUAAAUUACCCAAUCCCGAUUCAGGGAGGUAGUGACAAGAAAUAACGGACCGAGGCCUUCGGGCUUCGGGAUUGCAAUGAGCCGAAUUUACACCCCUUAGC